RNAcentral lists this long non-coding RNA (537 nucleotides) under Trifolium pratense (red clover). RNAcentral describes it as "long non-coding RNA (TPRA_LNC000215)". Lineage: Eukaryota; Viridiplantae; Streptophyta; Magnoliopsida; Fabales; Fabaceae. The record is from RNAcentral.
AACAAGGAGAAAAUUCUGCGCUAGUCAAAUGUUGACAUGGUUUGAUAUUUAUAAGAGAGCAAGAACCCAGUAAUUUUGAUUUGACGAAUGCUUUAUACUGUGAAUUUGUAUUUUGCGCAGGUGCUGUCGGAUCAUGUUAUUUAAGUAGGUUGCUUGCCCGUAGUGAAUUCUCUAACGAAGUGAAGAAAACAUGUGUUUCUCAUUCACCCGGGAAAGGCGAAAGCUGUGAUUUAUUGUCCUAUUUAUGACUUUGUAUCUGUAGUGUAUUUUGUUUAAGUGAAACCCUUAAGCCGCAGUUCGCAAUUUGCGUUGUAACUAAUGAUAAUUUAUUCAACUGUUAUCAUGCUGUGUGGAUGUGAUAACGCAACCCAUCUCUCUCAAUCUAAACAACCCCUGCACGCAUUCUCAGUGAGAUGUUGAACUUGAGAGUUGAGACGGAAUUUAAAUGGUCCUUCCUGAAUAUCAUCAUCACUACCUUGAGUCCUUAUUAAAUUUUAAUUUCUCACAACAGUAGUAUAUUUAUUCUUUUAAUAUUCA